Molecule: ribosomal RNA, 753 nt
Filed under: uncultured Comamonadaceae bacterium
Lineage: Bacteria; Pseudomonadati; Pseudomonadota; Betaproteobacteria; Burkholderiales; Comamonadaceae
Description: bacterial SSU rRNA
Rfam family: Bacterial small subunit ribosomal RNA
Source: RNAcentral
AUUGAACGCUGGCGGCAUGCCUUACACAUGCAAGUCGAACGGCAGCGCGGGAGCAAUCCUGGUGGCGAGUGGCGAACGGGUGAGUAAUACAUCGGAACGUGCCCAAUCGUGGGGGAUAACGCAGCGAAAGCUGUGCUAAUACCGCAUACGAUCUACGGAUGAAAGCAGGGGAUCGCAAGACCUUGCGCGAAUGGAGCGGCCGAUGGCAGAUUAGGUAGUUGGUGAGGUAAAGGCUCACCAAGCCGUCGAUCUGUAGCUGGUCUGAGAGGACGACCAGCCACACUGGGACUGAGACACGGCCCAGACUCCUACGGGAGGCAGCAGUGGGGAAUUUUGGACAAUGGGCGAAAGCCUGAUCCAGCCAUGCCGCGUGCAGGAUGAAGGCCUUCGGGUUGUAAACCGCUUUUGUACGGAACGAAACGGCCUUUUCUAAUAAAGAGGGCUAAUGACGGUACCGUAAGAAUAAGCACCGGCUAACUACGUGCCAGCAGCCGCGGUAAUACGUAGGGUGCAAGCGUUAAUCGGAUUUACUGGGCGUAAAGCGUGCGUAGGCGGCUUUUUAAGUCGGAUGUGAAAUCCCUGAGCUUAACUUAGGAAUUGCAUUCGAUACUGGGAAGCUAGAGUAUGGGAGAGGAUGGUAGAAUUCCAGGUGUAGCGGUGAAAUGCGUAGAGAUCUGGAGGAAUACCGAUGGCGAAGGCAGCCAUCUGGCCUAAUACUGACGCUGAGGUACGAAAGCAUGGGGAGCAAACAGG